This is a long non-coding RNA of Papaver somniferum (opium poppy), 2935 nucleotides long. RefSeq lists it as uncharacterized. The transcript is spliced from 8 exons. The record is from RefSeq and is a predicted model, not a curated record. Lineage: Eukaryota; Viridiplantae; Streptophyta; Magnoliopsida; Ranunculales; Papaveraceae.
UCACUUUCUCUCGCUUCUCUCUCGUCUUUGCUCUGAAGAAAAUUAGGGUUCUUUUAUCAAACCGAAGAAAACAAUUGCAGAGAACAAAAAAAAGAUUCUCGCUCCAUCGAUCUUCGUUGAGGACGUUUACGUAUUACAGAAGAACGAAAGUAAUCGAUUUAUAGAUUUAAUCGAUUUGAUUCAAACAGGUUUAAGAACUGAUCAUCAAUCUACAAGUUCGAAUCAGAGGACGAACUUCAAAUCUCUAAAACUCCGGCACAAAUUCAAUUUGAAUCUGAGUAUAAAGAUAAGUUUAUCUUCUUUUGUGCUUCAUUUGAUACAUUUAAGUUGUUCGAUUUUGAAAAAGAGGGAGAGAGUAAAAAGCUAAGGUUCCAGUGAAGAGGUCGAUUUCGAGAAAUUUCAAUGACAGAAGUUAUUAAAGGAAGAAGUGGAAAACGAAGGGGAAAGACAACAACUGAAGCUUUAAGUACCGAGAAAUGAAAAAGAGAAGAGGAUGAUUUAGAUCUUAAUCUUUCUAGUGAUAUUCAAGGUAUCAUAUGUUCUAACGAAAUUCAAUUCAAUUCAAAAAUGAGAGAGAAGAGUAAUUAGGGCUCUGGUGGAAUUCAUCAAUCAGGGGAAACGAGAGAUUUCAGAAACCCUCACUAUUUUUCCUCUCUUUUCCUACUUUCUCUUCCGUCCGAAAUUCAAUCUCGCCCUAAAAUUUCUUCUUCGCUCCAAACCCUAGAAAUUCAAAAUCAGAGUGAUUCGUCAUAUUCAAGAUUGGAGCAAAGUUGUGCCGAACAAGGAAUUGAUCAAAUAUGAAGGAGAUUCAGAGCUUCAAUUAGAGAUCUGAUAACUUCGUUUUUCGUCAAUCUGGUGCUGGUAAUAACAAGGAAGGUGCUGAGUUGAUUGAUUCUGUUCUUGAUGUUGUAGCGUGAUUCUCUACAGGGAUUCCACUGUAUAUGGAAUGGGAACUCUAUUGAUUUCAAAGAUCAGAAAGAAUAUCCUGAUAGAAGAUGCCCGUGGAUCUCUGCAAUACAGAGCAUUUACCAGAACUUACCCAGCAAAUGUGGAAUUCAAAGAACAUGAUGUGUGCUGCUGAUCCUAGACAUGGACGACACUUGACUGAAAACUAUCAAAAUACAAGUGAAGAGAAAAUCCUAAGCAUGCAAAUAAAAUAUCAGAAUGGGGACUCGAUCUUCUUUAAUAUAAGUUUCCUCUUCACUAACUUUUAAAUUUCAUACUGUUUCUGUACUUUAGAUUUUCUCUUCAAUGUUUUUGUGAAUUUGGUGGAACCAAAGUUGAAUUUUGAAUUUCCUGUUUUAUAAUUCGUGUGAUCUUGUAUUAUAAAUUUUUGUGGCAGCUUUGUGUUAUAUUUUGGAAUGAUUCGGGUGGAUUGUUGUGCGUCUCUGUCUUGUUUGUGUGCCGAAUCUUUGUUGCUUGUUUUGGUGACUUGCUGUGCGAUUCUUUGUUUAAUAUUUUUUGGUCCUGUCUUGUUUGUGUGCCGACUCUUUAUUGUUGGUUGUGGCGACUUGCUGUGGGACUCUUGUGUGAACUUUUGUGUAAUAUUUUUUGGUGAUUCCGGCUGCUUGUUGUGUGUCUCUGUCUUGUUUGCGUGCCGACUUGCUGUGGGACUCUUGUGUGAACUUUUGUGUAAUAUUUUGUGGUGAUUCGGAUGGCUUGUUGUGUGUCUCUCUGUGCUCUUACUCUGAAUUUUUGUGCUUCAUUUGUUCUUGGUGGAUUGCGUUCAGGUUUAGUUUUCUAAUGUGGCUUUUGUAUGGAUUCCUAGUGUUGAAUGAUCUUUUGUGGAUAUGAGUAUUUGCUUAAUAUUUUGUGGUCCUGUCUUGUUUGUAUGCUGACUCUUUAUUGUUGGUUGUGGUGACUUGCUGUGGGACUCUUGUGUGAACUUUUGUGUAAUAUUUUUUGGUGAUUCAGGCUGCUUGUUGUGUGUCUCUGUCUUGUUUGCGUGCCGACUUGCUGUGGGACUCUUGUGUGAACUUUUGUGUAAUAUUUUGUGGUGAUUCGGAUUGCUUGUUGUGUGUUCCUCUGUGCUCUUACUCUGAAUUUUUGUGCUUCAUUUGUUCUUGGUGGAUUGCAUUCAGGUUUAGUUUUCUAAUGUGGCUUUUGUAUGGAUUCCCAGUGUUGAAUGAUCUUUCGUGGAUAUGACUAUUUGCUUAGUUUAAUUUUCUCCAUCUACUUGUACGCUUGCUCCUGGAUUUGUCAUCUUAAUGGUUUGAACAAGCAUUUACUUUAUAUCGUUUCAGAAAACCCAUUUAUUCACGAUGUGGAAAUCACCUGGGAAGAUGUCGACCUCCAAUGUUACCACCAAGUGUGAGCCCAGCACCCCAAACGUUCUACUAAUGUCCAGAAGGGCUUAAGCACAAAGUGUUUGAGGUAUGUUUUGCUGAUCUACAGAACGAUGAGGAUCAGUCCUACAUAAAGAUGCGACUGAGAGUGGAGGAUGUCCAAGGAAAGAAUGUUUUGACUAACUUUUGGUGGCGGACUUUGAUUAAGGCUCAUGUUGAUGUGAAGACAACCGACAACUAGUUACACAAGCUAGGAGGCAAUAAGGUUUACACAAGAUGUGCAUAUGAGAUGUUAAGACGUUGAGGUGAAACUUUAUUUCAAGCAGUGUGCGUAUGAGAUGCAAGCAGUGUUGAGCUUCGAUGCUCGUGUUGUUGGAAGUAUACUGUGAAGACAUUGAGGCGUUUUUUUUGGGACAGUUCAUGUGUUGGCUUAUGGAGUAUCUACCUUAAACAGUGCAGUUGCUUACAGGAACCGCAGUCAUGGUUUGCUAUUUGUGGUAUUGGUCUCGCUGGAACUGGAGUUAACGCUGAAUACACAAGUCAGAUGCAUGUGUAACUCUCAAUGACACUAGAUAGACGCAUAUGUAACUCUGGAUUACACUAGACAGAUGUGUGUGUAAAUUCUAGUUACACAUGCUAAAAAAUUGUUG